Molecule: long non-coding RNA, 266 nt
Filed under: Hordeum vulgare
Lineage: Eukaryota; Viridiplantae; Streptophyta; Magnoliopsida; Poales; Poaceae
Description: long non-coding RNA (HVUL_LNC004627)
Source: RNAcentral
UAGCAAUGAAAUUACUACCUCCGGGCAUCAAAGGAGUGCAUAGACCAAUAUUUCACUCUGCUUUAAGCUGUUUAUAAUUGCUUUGAUUAGUGCAAUGGAAGUCUCUAGUUUGGUAGGCUGCAUUAGAUUGGACCAGGCCCGCACGGGCAGAGUUUGGAACAUUUGGUUGCCUGGCUCGCAUGUGAUUCGUAGCCCGCACAAACCUCAUGGAAACGGCCGAAUUGGUCGUUUUUUGCGAGCCAAGCUUGCUCGAGGUGAGCGUCUGC